GUGCAUGUGUGUGUGCGUGUGUGUGUAUUCCUAUGUAUACACACAUAUGCUCACUGGCAUAUGCAUAUUUGAUUGGUCGUAAAUGAAACGCGUUCUGCUUUGUUUUUCCACUUCCAUCUUGUGAUUUAGUAACUGUGGAGCCGUGAAUAUAAGCGAAAUAUUCCAAUGAUUGUAAUAUGGGAGUGUAACGUCUACCUAGGACCACAGGGCAACCAUUCACUGGUGCGAUAUGUUUGUAUACGAGUCAUGUUUGUUACUAAUCGCAAAUGGUAGAACACCAAAUAUAUAGUGCUACUGCCGCUUCCCCACCAACAAACCACUGCCAUUGCUCUGCUGCUGCUGCUGCUACUACUGCCACUACCUCUACUACUACUACUACCGCUAUCACUACUACGACUACUACUGCCGAAUUUUAUUCCCUCCUACAAAAAAGCUCUCACCAAUACCCUCCAAACAUCCCCCUUCACAGAGCAGCAGCAACAGCGGCCGCCUCUACUCAGAGCUUCAAAUGUAGCGUGCUGUAUCAUCAUCAUCAUCACCAUCAUCACCAUCGUCAUCAUCAUCAUCAUCGUUUUCAUCGUGUGCCUCAACUAUCAUGACUAACAAGCCGAGGUGUCGGUUCUGUAUGCUGCUAAAAACAGCAGUCAGUCGAAAGUAUAUCUCCUUCCAUUCACAUCCCAAUUCUGUUUUUAAAAAAAGAAUGAUUGGCACUGGAUUUAUAUUGUUUGAAUGAAAAGACAUGACAUUCGUGGCUGGAAUCCCUCUGGUUUAUAGAGCAACCGAAUUUUACCUACCUGGGGCUAAACAGCAACGACAACGUGAGCAAAUAACAGCAAGAACGACCGACCACAAUAUUCAUUCAUUUAUUCAUCUAUGGUGUGGAUGACUUUCGGAUUAUACCCAAGGCACCAUUAUAUGUUUCUAAACGGAGAGCGAUUUAUGUAUGCACACACGCACGAUUUCAUGCGCGUGUGCACAAAGGACGCUGUGUGAAUUAACACACACACACACACACACACACACACACACAUUCACAUACACGUAUUUCUGUACAUACACACACACACACACAUUCACAUGCACGUAUGUCUAUACACACACACUGGUACACAGUCUUCCAACCGCAGCACACACGCAUAACUAACAUCCGAAAGGAAGCCGCUAUAAAAUAUGACUUGAUUGUUAAAACAGUUUCAUGCACACACACACACACACACACACACACACACACAAACGUACACGCACACUCACAUGCACACACGCAGACGCAAAUGCACACACACACACACACACAUACACACACAGACACACACACACACACACACACACCUACGCACACACAUCUCUAUCUUUUCGGAAUUAAAUGAUCGGUUUUAAAAGUGACAGAAAUCGUAGAGGUAAUCAGUGUGACUUCCAAAUUAAACUCUAAAAUCUGUGAAAUAUCGAUCACUGGAUAUUAUAAAAUAUAAUGUCGACGAUGCUGCUGCUGCUACUUCUACUACUGAUAAGAAAUGGUGAAACUGAAAUGUCGUUCACAUGACAAUGGUGAUGAUGAUGGAGGUUGUGGUGGUGGUGGUGGUAGAAAUGGAAGAAAACGGCUAAAGAAGAAUGGAAUCGAAAGAAAUAAUAGAAAAAAACAUAAAAAAGAUUUCAAAUAUAAAAAAAUAAAAAAUAAAAUGUUGCGGACAUUUACUUAAAAUGGCAGCCAUUACCGGAAGUUGUUAUGUUUUAUUCCUGAAUAUAUAUAGCAAGUAAGAUGGCAUUUGAAUAUUCCGAAUUGAGAUCUGGCGAUUCUUGACACUUCAAAACAAUAAACAGCAAAGUAAGUCGCAUAACAUUUAUUUAAUUAUUUAUGGUAUAUAUUACGAUGCACCUAUUUAAGUCUACACAUCACCUAACAAUUUACUGACGGUAAAUUGGCAGAAUCGUUAGAGUAUCAGACAAACUAAUUGCUGUCUUGCCAAUAUUUAGUUACAGUUAUGUACGUUAUUAGGUCAAAUAUUUCCACGGUUAGGUUUUUACUUUCAUCCUUCCUGGCGUAUUGAAAUAAACUGCUAGUAAAUAAGUAUUAGAGUCGAUUUGCUCGACUAACCUCUUCAAGGUGGUGUCCCAGCACUUCCACAGUCUAAUAACUGAAACAAAUAAAAGAUAUGUGUGUGUGUGUGUGUAUAUAUAUAUUGGGUCAACCCAUAAAUUAUGCAGUUUUUUAUACUUCUUUUAUUUUUCAAAAUUAAGAUAAACAAAGUUCUUUUUAAAUCUAAAAUAUACUUUCCUUCAUUUUCUACAAUGCUCUUCCAACUACCUAGCGGACUUGCAAGGCCCCUCUUCCAAAAUUCACUUGUCCGUGAUGAAAAAUACUCCUUCAGUACUGUUCUGACCUCAUCUACAGAUUUCAUAUUUUUUCCGUCCAAAUGAUUUUGAAGACUGCGAAAUAAAUGAUAAUCAGAUGGGACAAUAUCUGGCGAAUAUGGUGGGUGGGGAAUCGUUUCCCAUUCAAACUGCUUCAGCCUUUGGAAUGCCAUCCUCGCUGUAUGUGGCCGAGCAUUAUCCUGAUGGAAGAACACCUUUCGUCUUGAAACCAAAGAUGGUCGUUUUUCUUUUUGCGCUAACUUAAGCCGCUCAAGUUGCUCACAGUAGAUCUCCUUUGUUAUCAUUUGGUUUGGGUUUAAACGUUGAAAGUGGACUAAACCUUUCAUAUCCCACCAAACAGAUAACAACACCUUACGUGGGUGAAGAUCUUCUUUAGCCUCAGAUGCAGGUGUUUCUCCUUUCCCUACCCACUGACUUCGGCGCUUGACCUUUUUAUAUAGAACCCAUUUUUCGUCACCAGUCUCUACUCAUUCCAAAAAAGGUUCAUUUGUGAGAUGUGACAACAAAGAAGAGCACACAUUCACUAUCUGCGCGCGAUUAGACUCGGAAAGUUUGUGAAGAAGCUAUUGACCCAUUUUGAUGACUUUUCCGAUGGCACCCAGUUGUUGAUGAAUGGUUGAAUGACAAAAUCCAAGCUUCUCUGCUAGUUCCUCAACGGUUACAAUGGGAUUUUGUUCCACCAGGGUUUGCAAGAUGUCCUCGUCGAGUUCUACAGAUCUUCCAGGACGAAGCUCGUCUUUUAGGCUGUAGUUUCUGGCUCGGAAUUUCUGAACCACCGUUGACACUGGCUUACAUUUAUUGUCCAAUCCCCAUACACUGCAUUAAUAUUCUUCGCACUUUCCAUUGCAUUGUUGCCUUUAUUGAAUUUAUAAAGCAAAAUCUGCCGAAUAUGCUCCUUUGUUACUUCCAUUAUAGCUUUGAAAAAAUAACUGUUAAAAUCGAACUAUUCUUCAAAACUUGCACUAAAAAAAAGUUGAUGCAGGUAGUUUAUCCCGUCCCCCUCUGACUUUUAGUUCAGGCAAUUGAAAAAACCCGAAUUAUUUAUGGGAUGACCAUAUAUAUAUAUUUACACGCUCAUGUAUAUAUGCAUACCGAUUUCAAAUUUUGACACAAGGCCAGCAAUUUCGAGAGAGGGAUAGUCGAUUACAUCGACUCCAGUGCUCAACUGCUACUUAUUUUAUCGACUCCGAAAGGAUCAAAGGCAAAGUCGGCGGAAUUUAAACUCAGAACGUAAAAAUGGACGAAAUACUGCUAGGGCAUGUUAACGACUCCGCCAAACUCGCUACCUCGGUUGCUAGAAAAAUCAGUGUGACACAUGUUAUGUCAACACUGUACUGUUUCUAUUUUUCUUCCUCUUUUACAUUUUUUGUAAUUACAGAACAAUCUAGUCAACAGGCUUCCGUACAGUUUCCGUUUACCCAAUUUCACUCACAAAGUGAGUCUGCAUGAGGCUAUAGAUAACGGCGUUUACCCAAGAUGUCACGAAGCAGGAUUGAAAGCGGACCGAUACGUGUGUGUGUGUGUGUCUGUCUGUGUGUUUGUCUGUCUGUCUGUCAGUAUUUGGGGUAGGAACUGUAUAAGUGCGCUCCCGCGUCUGUUUGUGUUUGUAUGCAAAAGCGUUUGUAUACAAAAGAGUUGUAGUGUGUUCAUUUAAAAUGCCACAGUUAGAACUAAAUUAUUAUUUAAUUUUAACAAAGAUUAAACUUCUACCUUACAAUAAUAACAUUCAAUAAUUCUUGAGUGUAUGUUGGAGAAAAAAAAAGUGAGGAGGAAGGGGAGGAGGGGAGAAAGGGUAACUAGAGCCACCUCACUAACAUGUGUCUCCCAAUGGUGACAUACGUUACUCACGUGACACUUGAAACAUUCAAAGAGAAAUAAGCUUAUGCUAAAGAAAUUAUGCUUCGUACUUAAAAUAUUUUGCUUUCAUAUCUUUGUUUCUCCUCCCCUUCUCUUUACUCCACUCUCUUUCUAAUUUAUUGUCUCCCCCACACUCUCUUUCCCCCUCUUUCUCUCUCUCUCUCUCUCUCUCUCUCUCACAUGUAGAUAUAUUCAUACAUAUGUUUUUAUGUUGAGAAUAAAAAUAUUUUUAUACAUAUAUGAGUUUGGGUAUGUGUGCGUAUGUGGUUGUGCGUGUUCGGUUGUGAACAAAUAUGUCUAUUUAUGACUA
Molecule: long non-coding RNA, 4537 nt
Organism: Octopus bimaculoides (California two-spot octopus)
Lineage: Eukaryota; Metazoa; Mollusca; Cephalopoda; Octopoda; Octopodidae
Source: RefSeq, a predicted model, not a curated record